CUCCAUGAUUCAGCGGCGGACGGGUGAGUAAUGCCUAGGAAUCUGCCUAUUAGUGGGGGACAACGUUUCGAAAGGAACGCUAAUACCGCAUACGUCCUACGGGAGAAAGCAGGGGACCUUCGGGCCUUGCGCUAAUAGAUGAGCCUAGGUCGGAUUAGCUAGUUGGUGAGGUAAUGGCUCACCAAGGCGACGAUCCGUAACUGGUCUGAGAGGAUGAUCAGUCACACUGGAACUGAGACACGGUCCAGACUCCUACGGGAGGCAGCAGUGGGGAAUAUUGGACAAUGGGCGAAAGCCUGAUCCAGCCAUGCCGCGUGUGUGAAGAAGGUCUUCGGAUUGUAAAGCACUUUAAGUUGGGAGGAAGGGCAUUAACCUAAUACGUUAGUGUUUUGACGUUACCGACAGAAUAAGCACCGGCUAACUUCGUGCCAGCAGCCGCGGUAAUACGAAGGGUGCAAGCGUUAAUCGGAAUUACUGGGCGUAAAGCGCGCGUAGGUGGUUUGUUAAGUUGGAUGUGAAAGCCCCGGGCUCAACCUGGGAACUGCAUCCAAAACUGGCAAGCUAGAGUAUGGCAGAGGGUGGUGGAAUUUCCUGUGUAGC
Molecule: ribosomal RNA, 600 nt
Filed under: uncultured bacterium
Lineage: Bacteria
Description: bacterial SSU rRNA
Rfam family: Bacterial small subunit ribosomal RNA
Source: RNAcentral